GCACCCAGUUCUGUGCUUGCUGUAGACAUGAGGAGCCUGUCUCAGCAUCUGCAAAGUGUCUGACUGCACCAAGGAUACACACUUCCCACCUACCCUUAAGGUGUAGGGGUGAGCGUUCACUCUACACUCCCUGGGGAGGUUCUAGCAGGAGGAGCUGUGUUGGGGGCUCUCAAGAACAGAGAUGCCAGCCUGGCCUUGGGGCCGGGGGCCCCCCUUUUCCUGGAGCCCCAGACACUGGCACUUGUGUGCCCCAUGCAGGCCUGCCAGGGAGAGGAGCCAAGCAGCAGCUGUUAUCAGUCUCACGCAGACCUUCUCAUCUGGCUGCUCUUCUGAGGAGUGAUCCACGCUCUCUGCAGGUGCUGGGCAGCCUUCACUGGGAGGUGCAGCCAAGGCGGGAGGUGCAGCUGCUCUGUCUGCAGAGUCUUGGGAGAGGACAAAGGACCGUGAGGGGUUACAAGAGGUAACAGAGCUGAGCACCCAGGACCACCAAGCCCUACCAGCCUUCUCAGCCUCAGGUUCCCUUGUCUUUUGUGGUACCUGCCUCACGCGCAGAGAGUUGCCAGUGUCAGACCCUGCUUGCACCCAGCUUUACCAUCCUGGCCUGGCUCCCAUCCUGAAUAUAUUUUUACGUUUUAUGACUCUCAGAGGUUUUUAAAUUUAAUGGGUUCUUUUUUUUCUUUCUUCCUUCUUAUCACCUGAGCUAGAUCCUCUCUGAGCUGCUGCCAGCUUCAGGGAUUACAAGUGAAUAAUUUAGGUCUGAUGGUGCGUUUGAAGUUUAAGAGAAGGAAGUGGCAUCUGUAGCCUGCUCCUCAUCCCUGCCCCAGGGCCGUGGUGCAGCCUGCUGCUGUUUCUCCAAACACAGCUUCAAGGAUUCCCUAAGGAGCCACACUCUGAACAUUGCAUGGCCCUGCUCAGGCAUGGCCUUCCAGAUCCGGGCAGCCUAGAGACCAAGGCUCCCAGGGCACCACAGGGCAACGGGCUCAUUUUCGGCCAGCCGCCCUUACAGGCCGCUGCUCUGCAAGGAGGCAGCUCCCCAGCACUAGCACUGGAUGAUUGCUGUGCAUGCCAGGGACUGAACCACAGCACCAUGCCUGUCUGAGGGUCUCAGGGCCUUGCUUGCCAGCCCAGGGACAGGAGGGGUUAAAUGCCAAACCAGCGUGUGUGUCUUGGCAGCUCUGAAGCACAGUGAAGAAGGCAAUGGGCAAACAUGACCUGCUGCAGAGCUGACUUACGGGAUAGCUGUUGCUGGGCGAAAGGAGGUGCAUUUAGGGUCAGCAGCCUGUUGUCCCCAGAUACUGGUGGAGGAAGGAAGGACUUCCUUCAGUGUGCUGAGCAAUGGCAAUGCAGAGCUUUUGGCUGGCUUGCUCGUCUUUGCUGAGUGCAGAGCACACCGCUGCUUGACUCUCCCAGAGUGCAUUGAACUCCACAGGGUCCGGAGGCAGAUGAGACUUGCCUCCCCAUGUCCCAGGGGGUGUGCUGCCAUCGGUGGUCUCUGUGGUCUGUGCUUGCACAAUGUCAAGUGUUGCUAGUUCUCAGGACAGGGGACACAGAACGAUACUCUGGGAAAUUAUUUUUUAUCCCCUGCAAUUCACUGUUCAGAAAGUGAAGUCACUUUUGCCAGGACUCGUUCAGUAGCAGCCCUAAUGGAGGCAAUCUUUUCCUCAUAAAUACACUUCUCUUUGCAAGGUGGCUCUGACAAAAUCUAAGUAUGAACUUUAGUGGUUUCCAGGAGCUCUUGGAAGAACUAACAAGCAUAUCACAGGGUCCAGCAUUAAAUCCUUCCCUGCUGGGAUGCCGUAGAGAACGGAAACUGUCAGGCAGUUUGAGAUCCACUUAACAGCAAUUAGUGCAGAUGAAAGAAGCACUAACGCGAAAGCCCCAGUCUCUCUGCCUCGGGUGGGAGGAGGAAAGGAAUGUGUAAGAGAAAAUGUAAACAUGACAAAAUGUGGCUGUGUAUCCCACAAAACAAUGAAUCAUUUUAACAUUUCCAAUCCUUUUCAUGCAAGCAGAAACAGCCGAUCAAUAUGUGACAGAAUUAAAGACCUGCAGUAAAACCUUGGAGCUGAGGAUGUGUGAGAAUUGUGAACACAGACUAAUCUGCAGAAUUCUGCAUACAGCAUAAAAGGAAAGGCAAGUGUGUAUACAAGAGCCAGAAGCUGCAACAGCAGAAGUCUGCUUGGCAAGAGGACUCCUCUGCCCACCCAGAGGAGCACCCCCAUUGGAGAGGAGAAACCAUCACUGGCAAUGGAUAUGGAGCACCUACAGAAAAGGCAAUGCCAUGGCCAAUCCAAGGUGUGUCCAGACCCCGUCCAUUCAAACUCUUCCAGCUGAGCCUGCAGGUGAUGUCAUGGUACACAGAGUAUUUCUGCACAGACCUGUGGCCCCAGUAUGUGCUGAGGAGCCUCUCCUGGGAUGGGCACCCUGGUACCAAAGCGCUUGUUACCGAUUCAGACUGGUGCCCCGUGUUGUUGAGACAUGGCCAGUGAGCGAAGGCAUUCCUUCCUUCAGAGAGUCAGCUGCAGUGCAAGUUCCCCAACUGUAUUCUCCAGUCUUGUCCUGGAAAGAAAAGAACUGGCAAGAAGGAAAGCCAGUGUCUUUGCAUCUGUCCUUAUCCUUGUGCUGAAACCUGACUGCCAACAACUUGUCACAAAGAUGUUUUCUGCAGUGACACACUUCAUACAGGGCUCUUCCAAGGUAGCACUGGUCACACUGUGGGAAUGUUCCAGCUGGUUCGUUCUGCUGCUCAGCUGAGGGAGACACGUUCUGCUAGUGCCCGAGGACACGCUCCCGGGGAAGGGAGCUGCACUGCAGCGUUGCAGCUGAUGCAUCUGUGGGAGUCUCUGGGGCCGGUGCAGAGCCAUCCCCUAGCACUCCCCUCCAAGGUCUCAGCUGGCAGUGGCCAGGGCCAGCUGUCUGCAUGCAGGCCACAGGCAGCUGGGGAAGGGACCUGGCAGUUUGCUGCUAGCCUCUUCAUGGGGCUGCCGGGGCCUGAUGUGGUCACACUAUACCCUAUCCUAAACCAGUGGUUCAGUGCUCAGAGGCAGAAGCAAUUUUACAUAAAGUUCAAUUAAAUAUUUGCUUUAUAAUUGCGCAACAAAUUAUUCAUAAAGGCAUUG
This is a non-coding RNA of Phalacrocorax carbo (great cormorant), 3116 nucleotides long. The record is from RefSeq and is a predicted model, not a curated record. NCBI's taxonomy places the organism in Eukaryota, Metazoa, Chordata, Aves, Suliformes, Phalacrocoracidae.